This is a long non-coding RNA of Culex quinquefasciatus (southern house mosquito), 1011 nucleotides long. RefSeq lists it as uncharacterized. The transcript is spliced from 3 exons. The record is from RefSeq and is a predicted model, not a curated record. NCBI's taxonomy places the organism in Eukaryota, Metazoa, Arthropoda, Insecta, Diptera, Culicidae.
GAUCUAGCAUCUGUCAACCUUAUCAAGUGUUGCGACGGAGCACGUCCCAAAUACGGCCGAAGCAAUCCCCUCGUUCUACGUCAGUGUUAGUGUUUGUUUUGUUUGACUGGUGCCCGUGCUGUCGCUUGGCAAACGAUUAGAAGAAUCAAAACAAUCUGAGCAAGCGGGAGCACGGGCGCAGCUGGACAGGUCAGCUGCGAAAAGACACCAUAAUUUUUUGUAGCAUGUGGGAAAUAAAAGAAUUUUAUUUCGCCCUGCUCACGAAAACGGUGCCCGGAGUAGCACAUUCCCGCCUGUCUCAACACUACAAAAAAUUAUGACACGGAGUGCCGAAGUUAAGGAACCUACGACCACGAUCGGAAGCGGGAAAGGCGCGGCGGAAGUGGUACGAGGAUCCCCCAGAGACGUGCCUUCAACCGGAGCGGUUGCUGAGGAAUUCGCUGACGCUGGGGAAAUGGUGGCUGGGACCCCAACAAAAUGGAGUCGUUGGGGCAACGAUUGCCAAAGGAUGUUGCGACGAAGUGAUCACCCGUGGCCCAUAAAUCGAGCCAAAAGUGGUCGGGCACGGGUGAGAGGCGGAGGUCAAAAGACAACUUUGCAGCGAAACGCGCUCAUCGGCUUCAAGUUGCAGACGUCAUCAGCAGCACCAAAACCAGCAAAGCAUCUUCGGGACGCGCUACGACGAAGAAGGCGCAAAACUCUGACUUCGGCAAAUCAGAAGUUUUACGGGGGGGAGUGUUGCGACGGAGCACGUCCCAAAUACGGCCGAAGCAAUCCCCUCGUUCUACGUCAGUGUUAGUGUUUGUUUUGUUUGACUGGUGCCCGUGCUGUCGCUUGGCAAACGAUUAGAAGAAUCAAAACAAUCUGAGCAAGCGGGAGCACGGGCGCAGCUGGACAGGUCAGCUGCGAAAAGACACCAUAAUUUUUUGUAGCAUGUGGGAAAUAAAAGAAUUUUAUUUCGCCCUGCUCACGAAAACGGUGCCCGGAGUAGCACAUUCCCGCCUGUCUCAA